RNAcentral lists this ribosomal RNA (460 nucleotides) under uncultured bacterium. Its description in RNAcentral is "partial 16S ribosomal RNA". It matches the Rfam family "Bacterial small subunit ribosomal RNA", at positions 338 to 795 of the family's 1533-position model. The record is from RNAcentral.
CCUACGGGAGGCAGCAGUGAGGAAUAUUGGUCAAUGGACGCAAGUCUGAACCAGCCAUGCCGCGUGCAGGAAGACGGCUCUAUGAGUUGUAAACUGCUUUUGUACGAGGGUAAACGCAGAUACGUGUAUCUGUCUGAAAGUAUCGUACGAAUAAGGAUCGGCUAACUCCGUGCCAGCAGCCGCGGUAAUACGGAGGAUUCAAGCGUUAUCCGGAUUUAUUGGGUUUAAAGGGUGCGUAGGCGGUAGGAUAAGUUAGAGGUGAAAUCCCGAGGCUCAACUUCGGACUUGCCUCUGGUACUGGUCGGCUAGAGAGUAGGUGCGGUAGGCGGAAUGUAUGGUGUAGCGGUGAAAUGCUUAGAGAUGAUAAAGAACACCGAUUGCGAAGGCAGCUUACUAAGCUACUUCUGACGUUGAGGCACGAAAGCGCGGGGAGCAAACAGGAUUAGAUACCCUAGUAGUC